AGACUGGUUACUGAUAACAAUGCAUCGUAAAACCUUCAGAAGGGAAGAAUGUUUUGUGGACCAUUUGGGUUUUUUUGUGCGUGUGUAGCAGUUUUAAGUUAUUAGUUUUUAAAGUCAGU
Molecule: microRNA precursor, 119 nt
Filed under: Canis lupus familiaris (dog)
Lineage: Eukaryota; Metazoa; Chordata; Mammalia; Carnivora; Canidae
Description: miRNA (ENSCAFG00000054075.1, ENSCAFG00845025728.1)
Source: RNAcentral